Molecule: ribosomal RNA, 409 nt
Filed under: Capnocytophaga gingivalis
Lineage: Bacteria; Pseudomonadati; Bacteroidota; Flavobacteriia; Flavobacteriales; Flavobacteriaceae
Description: bacterial SSU rRNA
Rfam family: Bacterial small subunit ribosomal RNA
Source: RNAcentral
GAUGAACGCUAGCGGCAGGCCUAACACAUGCAAGUCGAGGGAGAAGCCCUUUCGGGGGCAGAAACCGGCGCACGGGUGCGUAACGCGUAUGCAACCUACCUUUCACAGGGGGAUAGCCCGAAGAAAUUUGGAUUAAUACCCCAUAAUAUUAUUGGAUGGCAUCAUUUGAUAAUUAAAACUGCGGUGGUGAAAGAUGGGCAUGCGUCCUAUUAGCUAGUUGGAGUGGUAACGGCACCCCAAGGCUACGAUAGGUAAGGGUCCUGAGAGGGAGAUCCCCCACACUGGUACUGAGACAGGGACCAGACUCCUACGGGAGGCAGCAGUGAGGAAUAUUGGUCAAAUGGUCGGAAGACUGAAACCCAGCCCAUGCCGCGUGCCAGGAAGAAAUGCCCUUAUGGGUUGUAAAACU